GACGAACGCUGGCGGCGUGCUUAACACAUGCAAGUCGAACGGAAAGGCCCUGCUUUUGUGGGGUGCUCGAGUGGCGAACGGGUGAGUAACACGUGAGUAACCUGCCCUUGACUUUGGGAUAACUUCAGGAAACUGGGGCUAAUACCGGAUAGGAGCUCCUGCUGCAUGGUGGGGGUUGGAAAGUUUCGGCGGUUGGGGAUGGACUCGCGGCUUAUCAGCUUGUUGGUGGGGUAGUGGCUUACCAAGGCUUUGACGGGUAGCCGGCCUGGGAGGGUGACCGGCCACAUUGGGACUGAGGUACGGCCCAGACUCCUACGGGAGGCAGCAGUGGGGAAUAUUGCACAAUGGGCGGAAGCCUGAUGCAGCAACGCCGCGUGCGGGAUGACGGCCUUCGGGUUGUAAACCGCUUUCGCCUGUGACGAAGCGUGAGUGACGGUAAUGGGUAAAGAAGCACCGGCUAACUACGUG
This 468-nucleotide ribosomal RNA is filed under the name uncultured bacterium. Its description in RNAcentral is "partial 16S ribosomal RNA". It matches the Rfam family "Bacterial small subunit ribosomal RNA", at positions 28 to 507 of the family's 1533-position model. The record is from RNAcentral.